AGGAGAGAAGGCAGGAGGUGAAGGAGAUGGCACAGGCAGAGGUACAGAGUGGUGACUGAAACCACACGCCAUGUUGGGAGACUUCCAAACAAGUCUAGAGAGUUGGCACUUAGGGAUGAAGAAAUCAUCUUCUGAAGUAACCUGGCCAGGCGCAGUGGCAUACACCUGUAAUUCCAACACAGUGGGAGGAUCUCUUGAUGCCAAGAGUGCAAGACCAGCCUGGGCAACAUAGACUUGCGCAGCCACAGCUGUGGGGCUAAAGACCGUG
This 268-nucleotide long non-coding RNA is filed under the name Homo sapiens (human). RNAcentral describes it as "non-protein coding SIRLNT:11". The record is from RNAcentral. Lineage: Eukaryota; Metazoa; Chordata; Mammalia; Primates; Hominidae.